CGGCAACAGCUCAAAUUUGAAAUCUGCCCGCAAGGGCCGAGUUGUAAUUUGUAGAAGAUGCUUUGGGUGUGGCUCUGGUUUAAGUUCUUUGGAAUAUUACAUCAUAGAGGGUGAGAAUCCCGUAUGUGACCAGUCGCCGCGCCCGUGUAAAGCUCUUUCAAC
This is a ribosomal RNA of 162 nucleotides. It matches the Rfam family "Eukaryotic large subunit ribosomal RNA", at positions 99 to 261 of the family's 3401-position model.